GCGUUAAGUUAAGGGCAUUUGGUGGAUGCCUUGGCAUGCACAGGCGAUGAAGGACGUGGCACUCUGCGAUAAGCUGCGGGGAGAUGAGAGCAAUCUUUGAUCCGCGGAUUUCCGAAUGGGGGAACCCCACCCUUUAGGGUGAACGUCAGCUGAAUACAUAGGCUGGCGUGGCGAACCCGGCGAACUGAAACAUCUCAGUAGCCGGAGGAAAAGAAAUCAACCGAGACUCCGUGAGUAGUGGCGAGCGAAAGCGGAUCAGCCCAGUGGUGGUCUCGAGGAAACCGGAAGCGUCUGGAAAGGCGCGCCAGAGCGGGUGACAGCCCCGUACGGGUCCAGCCUCGAGAUCAUCCUUGAGUAGGGCGGGACACGAGAAAUCCUGUCUGAACAUGGGGGGACCACCCUCCAAGGCUAAGUACUCGUGCAUGACCGAUAGCGAACCAGUACCGUGAGGGAAAGGUGAAAAGCACCCCGAUGAGGGGAGUGAAAGAGACCCUGAAACCGAAUGCCUACAAGCAGUGGGAGCCCGCUCACCUGUGGUGAGUGGAUAAUUUCUGCUUUGCGUGCCGAUUGGCAUGCUGACCGUGGCGCCCGUGUGGCGCUGCGGGAUCUGGUGUUGAGAUUGUUGUUGAUGUGAUGUUGUUCGGCGCGCUGCCGGGCGGCAUCGGGUUGGCGGCAGCGCGCCAGACAAGAAAUCGCUCGCCAGAGGCGAGCGGGUGACCGCGUACCUUUUGUAUAAUGGGUCAGCGAGUUGAUUUUACGAGCGAGCUUAAGCCGUUAGGUGUAGGCGCAGCGAAAGCGAGUCUGAAUAGGGCGUUUGAGUUCGUAGGAUCAGACCCGAAACCGGGUGAUCUAGCCAUGGCCAGGCUGAAGGUGGGGUAACACCCACUGGAGGGCCGCACCCACGUCUGUUGAAAAAGACGGGGAUGAGCUGUGGCUAGGGGUGAAAGGCCAAUCAAACCCGGAGAUAGCUGGUUCUCCGCGAAAACUAUUUAGGUAGUGCGUCGGAUAUUGCCCUCGGGGGUAGAGCACUGGAUGGGCUAGGGGGCCGCGAGGCUUACCAAACCUAACCAAACUCCGAAUACCGAGGAGUAUCAGUCCGGCAGACAGACGGCGGGUGCUAAGGUCCGUCGUCGAGAGGGAAACAGCCCAGACCGCCAGCUAAGGUCCCCAAAUCAUGGCUAAGUGGGAAAGGAUGUGGGAAGGCCAAGACAACCAGGAGGUUGGCUUAGAAGCAGCCAUCCUUUAAAGAAAGCGUAAUAGCUCACUGGUCUAAACAAGCCGUCCUGCGCCGAAGAUGUACCGGGGCUCAAGCCAUGUACCGAAGCUGCGGACUUGCACUUUUAGUGUGAGUGGUAGCGGAGCGUUGCCUAGGCCUGUGAAGGAAGACCCGCGAGGGCUUCUGGAGGUAUGGCAAGUGCGAAUGCUGACAUGAGUAGCGACAAGGAGUGUGAGAAACACUCCCGCCGAAAGUCCAAGGGUUCCUGCGCAAGGUUAAUCCGCGCAGGGUGAGCCGGCCCCUAAGGCGAGGCCGAAAGGCGUAGCCGAUGGGAACACGGUUAAUAUUCCGUGGCCUGCGGGUGGUGACGGAUUGCGGACGUUGUUCGGACUUAAUGGAUUGUCCGGGCAGCCAAGCAGUCCCAGGAAACAGCCCCCGCGUGAGACCGUACCCUAAACCGACACAGGUGGACAGGUAGAGUAUACCAAGGCGCUUGAGAGAACUGUGCUGAAGGAACUCGGCAAAUUGCCCCCGUAACUUCGGGAGAAGGGGGCCCCGGUCCUGGGCAACCAGGGUCGGGGGGCACAGACCAGGGGGUGGCGACUGUUUACUAAAAACACAGGGCUCUGCGAAGCCGUGAAGGCGACGUAUAGGGUCUGACGCCUGCCCGGUGCCGGAAGGUUAAGAGGAGAGGUUCACGCCUCGAAUCGAAGCCCCGGUAAACGGCGGCCGUAACUAUAACGGUCCUAAGGUAGCGAAAUUCCUUGUCGGGUAAGUUCCGACCUGCACGAAUGGCGUAACGACUUCCCCACUGUCUCCAGCACAGACUCAGCGAAAUUGAAUUCUCCGUGAAGAUGCGGAGUCCCCGCGGUUAGACGGAAAGACCCCGUGCACCUUUACUACAGCUUUGCAGUGGUACUAGGACUUGUAUGUGUAGGAUAGGCGGGAGGCUUUGAAGCGCAGGCGCUAGCUUGUGUGGAGCCAUCCUUGAAAUACCGCCCUUGCGCGUUUUAGUGCCUAACCGCGGCCCGUGAUCCGGGUCCGGGACCCUGCAUGGCGGGUAGUUUGACUGGGGCGGUCGCCUCCCAAAGAGUAACGGAGGCGCGCGAUGGUGGGCUCAAGCUGGUCGGACAUCAGCUGUCGAGUGCAAUGGCAUAAGCCCGCCUGACUGCGAGACAGACACGUCGAGCAGAGACGAAAGUCGGUCAUAGUGAUCCGGUGGUCCCGCGUGGAAGGGCCAUCGCUCAACGGAUAAAAGGUACGCCGGGGAUAACAGGCUGAUACCCCCCAAGAGUCCACAUCGACGGGGGUGUUUGGCACCUCGAUGUCGGCUCAUCACAUCCUGGGGCUGGAGCAGGUCCCAAGGGUUCGGCUGUUCGCCGAUUAAAGUGGUACGUGAGCUGGGUUUAGAACGUCGUGAGACAGUUCGGUCCCUAUCUGCCGUGGGUGUUCGAGACUUGAGAGGCGCUGUCCCUAGUACGAGAGGACCGGGAUGGACGUACCUCUGGUGGACCGGUUGUGGCGCCAGCCGCAUCGCCGGGUAGCUAUGUACGGAAGGGAUAACCGCUGAAGGCAUCUAAGCGGGAAGCCCCCCUCAAAACCAGGUCUCGCCAUAAGAGCCGUCGUAGACCACGACGUCGAUAGGAAGCAUGUGGAAGCGCGGCAACGCGUGAAGCUGAGCUUUACUAAUCGCUCGAUUGGCUUGAUCAA
RNAcentral lists this ribosomal RNA (2926 nucleotides) under Fodinicurvata sediminis DSM 21159. RNAcentral describes it as "bacterial LSU rRNA". It matches the Rfam family "Bacterial large subunit ribosomal RNA". Lineage: Bacteria; Pseudomonadati; Pseudomonadota; Alphaproteobacteria; Rhodospirillales; Rhodovibrionaceae. The record is from RNAcentral.